This 253-nucleotide ribosomal RNA is filed under the name uncultured bacterium. Its description in RNAcentral is "partial 16S ribosomal RNA". It matches the Rfam family "Bacterial small subunit ribosomal RNA", at positions 524 to 776 of the family's 1533-position model. The record is from RNAcentral.
UACAGAGGGUGCGAGCGUUAAUCGGAAUUACUGGGCGUAAAGCGCAUGUAGGUGGUUUGUUAAGUUUGAUGUGAAAGCCCCGGGCUUAACCUGGGAAUGGCGUUGAAUACUGAUAGACUUGAGCCGGACAGAGGGCUGUGGAAUUUCCGGUGUAGCGGUGAAAUGCGUAGAGAUCGGAAAGAACACCAGUGGCGAAGGCGGCAGCCUGGGUCCAGACUGACACUGAGGUGCGAAAGCGUGGGGAGCAAACAGG